RNAcentral lists this ribosomal RNA (253 nucleotides) under uncultured bacterium. Its description in RNAcentral is "partial 16S ribosomal RNA". It matches the Rfam family "Bacterial small subunit ribosomal RNA", at positions 524 to 776 of the family's 1533-position model. The record is from RNAcentral.
UACGAAGGGGACUAGCGUUGUUCGGAUUUACUGGGCGUAAAGCGCGCGUAGGCGGAUCGCUAAGUCAGGGGUGAAAUCCCAGGGCUCAACCCUGGAACUGCCUUUGAUACUGACGAUCUGGAGAUCGGGAGAGGUUGGUGGAAUUCCGAGUGUAGGGGUGAAAUUCGUAGAUAUUCGCAAGAACACCAGUGGCGAAGGCGGCUCACUGGCCCGGUACUGACGCUGAGGUGCGAAAGCGUGGGGAGCAAACAGG